Molecule: ribosomal RNA, 395 nt
Filed under: uncultured bacterium
Lineage: Bacteria
Description: partial 16S ribosomal RNA
Rfam family: Bacterial small subunit ribosomal RNA
Source: RNAcentral
GCUACGGGUGGCAGCAGUGAGGAAUAUUGGUCAAUGGGCGCGAGCCUGAACCAGCCAAGUAGCGUGAAGGAUGACUGCCCUACGGAUUGUAAACCUCUUUUAUAAAGGAAUAAAGAGAGGCAAGUGUCCCCUGAUGUAUGUACCUUAAGAAAAAGCAUCGGCUAACUCCGUGCCAGCAGCCGCGGUAAUACGGAGGAUUCGAGCGUUAUCCGGAUUUAGUGGGUUUAAAGGGAGCGUAGACGGGUUGUUAAGUCAGUGGUGCAAGUCGGCGGCUCAACCGUAACAUUGCAGUUGAUACUGGCAGUCUUGAGUACAGUAGAGGUAGGCGGAAUUCGUGGUGUAGCGGUGAAAUGCUUAGAUAUCGCGCAGAACUCCGAUUGCGAAGGCAGCUUACU